RNAcentral lists this ribosomal RNA (231 nucleotides) under uncultured eukaryote. RNAcentral describes it as "partial 18S ribosomal RNA". It matches the Rfam family "Eukaryotic small subunit ribosomal RNA", at positions 1208 to 1456 of the family's 1831-position model. The record is from RNAcentral.
GGAAAUUUUACCCGGACAGCACAUGAUUAGGAUUGUCAGAUUGAGAGCUCUUGCAUGAUUUCAUGGAGGGUGGUGCAUGGCCGUUCUUGGUUGGUGGAGUGAUUUGUCUGGUUAAUUCCGUUAACGAACGAGACCUCGACCUGCUAAAUAGUUCGGCAAAUUCUUCGGGAUUUGUACGUGACUUCUUAGAGGGACUAUCGGUGGUUAGCCGAUGGAAGUUCGAGGCAAUAA